AGCCGCGGGGGAGGGCAGAGGGGAGGACUUUUGCAAUUUCCCGUCUAGCUGCGCACUCUUGGCACUCCUGGGACUCGCAGGAAUUCGCCUCCUUUUGGUCCCCGGAGGAAGCAGAUGGGACCCUGCGGGGGACGGCCGAGCCCCUGCGGAGUGAUAUGGUAGAUUAUGGAAAACCAUAUCGACUUUGGAGCCGAUGUGGAGAGCAUCCUGGUACUGCCGCUUCUGUGGCAGCGUCGGACCCAGAGAGGAGAGCAGUGGGGCCGCAGCGUGUGUAGGACUCGCAAGGAUGCCCGAUGGCGCUGCAGGCUUGUUCAUGGGGUCAGCUAAGCCAGGAAGAGGAAAAUUUGGGCUUGGGCACAGACACCCAAGAGGAACGCCACGUGACUACUGAGGCAGAGAUUGGAGUUACUCUCCCUCAAACCGAGGGAUAGCAAGGAUUGCUGGCAACCUGAGGAAGCUAAGAGAAUGGUACAGAACAGAUUCUCUCUCCGAACCCCUAAGAAGAAACUCAUCCUGCCAGCACCUUGACUUCAGAUUUCUGGGCUCCAGAGCUGUGAGAGAAUAGAUUUCUGUUGUUAUAAGCCGCUAGGUUUGUGGGAAUUUCUUAGAGCAGCCCCAGCAAACUGAUACAUAGUAUGUGGUAACCAAACUGAUGGCGUCUGAAGGAAGUGGGAGUCUUCUGAAGAAAGUGGCUUUGUCAAGUGUUGACUGCCCUCCAGAAUCUUCCUGCUAUUUGUCAUUCUCCACUGCUUUUAAAGACUUUUAAGUGUUUUUUAAAAAAAUAUUUUUUCUGGUGUUUUAUAUUAUUAUAUGUAGGAGGAGCAGUUCAAUAAGAGCCAUUCAGCUGUGACUGGAAGUGGCACUCCCUACCGUUAUAUUUUGAAAUGCUAAGUGACUAAGUUAUUGGAGGAAAAUAGUAUGAACUCCUUCCUUUGCUCGAUUAGAUUUCUCUCCAAUAAAAUAUUCUUCUGAAACAAUCCAGUUUUUCAAAAGAUUGAAAUAUAUUUACUUUAGACUUCAAUCUAGAAAUUGAUGAAAAUCUGCUGAAAUCAUGUAAAGUUUCUAUUAUCUUAAAUAUCACUUUAGAAUGAAGAUUUAUAAGAUUAAUGCCACUAUAAUACAAAUGAAAGACUUUUAAGCAAAAAAGAGUAGUCGUCAAACUUGUCCUUGAAUUUCCUCUGAACUUUAUCCAGAUGUCAAGAACAAAAUUUAUUUGUGGGAGCUACAGAAAGCUAAGUUUUUAUCCUUGUGAUUCUAUUUGUGCUUAAAUUAAUUUUAUCUACAUUGAAAUGAAAACUUCCUGAAGGCAUUCACUUCUAUAUUCAAUCUUGUCAGCUUCUUAAAUGUAGCCUCUUUCAUCCAGUUCUUACACAACAGCAAUUAUUUCAUCCAUUAUCAAAUAUUAUCAGAUGAUACUUAGUCACUUUGAAAUAACGCUCAGGUAGUUUCCACGCUAUCAAGGCAUUUUGGGGGGAACAUGCCGAGGAGAAAUGUUCAUUCAAAUUCAACACAAAAUCACCAAGCUAAACUAGAAUAAAAUGAAACACCCAAGAAGGAGAGAAAUGUUAUUACAUCAGUGUUAUUAGAUCUUGUAGCAAAAAUAAUCAUAAGAACUUGUCUUCCUAGAAAUUUUUGGAAAUGAUGCCUAAAGAUGAAGGUGUAAAUGUUUUGAAAAAGGAUGGCAAUAGACAAUUUCUUUUGAAAAUCCCCCCGUUCUUAGCAAGAAGAAAAAAAUAUUCACUUGAUUGGAAAUUUCGGCUUACAAACAUUCAUAGUGGCAGAAUUAUAAUAGACACACAUACACAUCACACACACACACACACACACACACACACAGACACUCAUUAGAAAAACAUUGUGGGGGAAAUGGAGAGAUGGUAGGAAGAAAAAGAACAUUGUAAUAGCAACAAACUAGUAACAACCUGAAGAUUUUCGAAUAAAAGACUGAAAACUCUUUAUGAUUCAUCCUUUCAAAAGAAGGAAAAUUAUCUGUAUAUGCAGCUAUGGAAUAUGUCCAAGAUAUACAAUUGAGUGAAAAAAGCAAGAGUCGGAAAUGUGUAUUUGGUAUGUCCAUACAUCUAUUUAAUUUGUUAAUUUUUAUGGGGUAUAUACAUAAGCAUGUUUUGAGUACGAUUACAAGAAAUUGCUAACUGCUUGUCCUCGGGGAGAAAGUCUAAGAAUGCAAGUGGUGUGUAAGGGGCACUUGUACUUUUCAUUUUAGACAUGUUUGUGCAGAUUAGUUUUUCGUCAUGUGUUUUUAUUUUUAAAAAAUAGUAAUCUCA
This is a long non-coding RNA of Equus quagga, 2282 nucleotides long. RefSeq lists it as uncharacterized. The record is from RefSeq and is a predicted model, not a curated record. The transcript is spliced from 5 exons. NCBI's taxonomy places the organism in Eukaryota, Metazoa, Chordata, Mammalia, Perissodactyla, Equidae.